RNAcentral lists this ribosomal RNA (335 nucleotides) under uncultured bacterium. RNAcentral's name for it is "bacterial SSU rRNA". It matches the Rfam family "Bacterial small subunit ribosomal RNA", at positions 32 to 361 of the family's 1533-position model. The record is from RNAcentral.
AAUCAACGCUGGCGGCGUGCCUCAGACAUGCAAGUCGAACGAUUAAAGCUCUCUUCGGAGAGUGCAUAGAGUGGCGCACGGGUGAGUAACACGUAAGUAAUCUACCUUCGAGUGGGGAGUAACAUCGGGAACCGAUGCUAAUACCGCAUAAUGCAGCGGCAUCGCAAGAUGACAGUUGUUAAAGAUUUAUCGCUUGAAGAGGAGCUUGCGGCAGAUUAGCUAGUUGGUAAGGUAAUGGCUUACCAAGGCUACGAUCUGUAACCGGUCUAAGAGGACGGUCGGUCACACUGACACUGAAUAACGGUCAGACUCCUACGGGAGGCAGCAGUCGGGAA